GGGCGCAUAGCUCAGUGGUACGAGCGCCUGCUUGACACGCAGGAGGUCCGUGGUUCAAUCCCACGUGCGCCCACCA
Molecule: transfer RNA, 76 nt
Filed under: Methylobacterium sp.
Lineage: Bacteria; Pseudomonadati; Pseudomonadota; Alphaproteobacteria; Hyphomicrobiales; Methylobacteriaceae
Also listed under: 3 other names
Description: tRNA-Val
Rfam family: tRNA
About the family: Transfer RNA (tRNA) molecules are approximately 80 nucleotides in length.
Source: RNAcentral